AACCGGCAGACGAGAUAGUAAUAAGUAGGUACGAACCUCAAAGUCAGGAAUAGCUAGUCGAAAGAUUAGGUAAUACUUGAUGGUCCCGCAAGGGUAAAGAUUUAUCGCUUUGAGAUCGGCCUGCUCGGUAUCAGCUAGUUGGUAAGGUAAUGGCUUACCAAGGCAAUGACGCCUAGGGGGGGUGAGAGCCUGUUCCCCAUCGAUGGAACUGAGAUACGGUCCAUACACCUACGGGUGGCUGCAGUCGAGAAUAUUCGACAAUGGGCGAAAGCCUGAUCGAGCGACGCCGCGUGCAGGAUGAAGUGCUUCGGUAUGUAAACUGCUUUUGUAGACUAGAAAGUUUAUUGAUCGGUCUAAGAAUAAGAGGUUGCUAAACUCGUGUACGUG
Molecule: ribosomal RNA, 387 nt
Filed under: uncultured bacterium
Lineage: Bacteria
Description: bacterial SSU rRNA
Rfam family: Bacterial small subunit ribosomal RNA
Source: RNAcentral